GGGCCGGUGGUCUAGUGGUUAUGACAUCGCCUUGACAUGGCGGGAGUCGCAGGUUCGAAUCCUGCUCGGCCCACCA
Molecule: transfer RNA, 76 nt
Filed under: Candidatus Bathyarchaeota archaeon
Lineage: Archaea; Thermoproteati; Candidatus Bathyarchaeota
Also listed under: 1 other name
Description: tRNA-Val
Rfam family: tRNA
About the family: Transfer RNA (tRNA) molecules are approximately 80 nucleotides in length.
Source: RNAcentral